GCAUAUCAAUAAGCGGAGGAAAAGAAACCAACAGGGAUUGCCUUAGUAACGGCGAGUGAAGCGGCAACAGCUCAAAUUUGAAAUCUGGCCCCCAGGCCCGAGUUGUAAUUUGUAGAGGAUGCUUCUGGCGACGCGCCUUCCGAGUUCCCUGGAACGGGACGCCAAAGAGGGUGAGAGCCCCGUCCGGUCGUGCGCCUAGCCUCUGUGAAGCUCCUUCGACGAGUCGAGUAGUUUGGGAAUGCUGCUCUAAAUGGGAGGUAUACGUCUUCUAAAGCUAAAUACCGGCCAGAGACCGAUAGCGCACAAGUAGAGUGAUCGAAAGAUGAAAAGCACUUUGAAAAGAGGGUUAAAUAGUACGUGAAAUUGCUGAAAGGGAAGCGCUUAUGACCAGACUUGGGCUUGGUGAAUCAUCCGGCGUUCUCGCCGGUGCACUUUGCCGGUCCAGGCCAGCAUCAGUUCGUCCCGGGGGAUAAAGGCUUCGGGAACGUAGCUCUUUCGGGAGUGUUAUAGACCGUUGCGUAAUACCCUGGGGUGGACUGAGGUACGCGUUCUGCAAGGAUGCUGGCGUAAUGGUCAUCAGUGACCCGUCUUGAAACACGGACCAAGGAGUCGUCUUCGUAUGCGAGUGUUCGGGUGUCAAACCCCUACGCGUAAUGAAAGUGAACGUAGGAGAGAGCUUCGGCGCAUCUCCGACCGAUCCUGAUGUUCUCGGAUGGAUUUGAGUAAGAGCAUACGGGGCCGGACCCGAAAGAAGGUGAACUAUGCCUGUAUAGGGUGAAGCCAGAGGAAACUCUGGUGGAGGCUCGCAGCGGUUCUGACGUGCAAAUCGAUCGUCAAAUAUGGGCAUGGGGGCGAAAGACUAAUCGAACCUUCUAGUAGCUGGUUUCCGCGA
Molecule: ribosomal RNA, 892 nt
Filed under: Geosmithia putterillii
Lineage: Eukaryota; Fungi; Ascomycota; Sordariomycetes; Hypocreales; Bionectriaceae
Description: LSU rRNA
Rfam family: Eukaryotic large subunit ribosomal RNA
Source: RNAcentral